Molecule: ribosomal RNA, 189 nt
Filed under: Penicillium sp.
Lineage: Eukaryota; Fungi; Ascomycota; Eurotiomycetes; Eurotiales; Aspergillaceae
Description: partial small subunit ribosomal RNA
Rfam family: Eukaryotic small subunit ribosomal RNA
Source: RNAcentral
GCCCUUAGAUCGUUUCUGGGCCGCACGCGCGCUACACUGACAGGGCCAGCGAGUACAUCACCUUAACCGAGAGGUUUGGGUAAUCUUGUUAAACCCUGUCGUGCUGGGGAUAGAGCAUUGCAAUUAUUGCUCUUCAACGAGGAAUGCCUAGUAGGCACGAGUCAUCAGCUCGUGCCGAUUACGUCCCUG